This is a long non-coding RNA of Hibiscus syriacus, 248 nucleotides long. RefSeq lists it as uncharacterized. Lineage: Eukaryota; Viridiplantae; Streptophyta; Magnoliopsida; Malvales; Malvaceae. The record is from RefSeq and is a predicted model, not a curated record. The transcript is spliced from 3 exons.
AGAAAGCAUUACUGGUUUGCGUGGUUGCUUUAUUCAAGUUGUUUCAAAGUUUAUACCUAAGUUGGAGAAAUAAACCGCCAGUUAUGUCACCAAAGCAUCGUCACUGAUUUUCCGUGAUAUGGAUAAUAUAUCAGGCGAGAACCGUAAUGCAUUACUGGUAAUUUUAGGAUUAAUGCUUCUAACUGCAACCUACCAAGCCACACUUAGCCCGCCUGGUGGUGUUUGGCAGGAUGAAAUCAAAGGAGGAA